RNAcentral lists this transfer RNA (93 nucleotides) under candidate division CPR2 bacterium. Its description in RNAcentral is "tRNA-Ser". It matches the Rfam family "tRNA". Rfam says of the family: Transfer RNA (tRNA) molecules are approximately 80 nucleotides in length. Their secondary structure includes four short double-helical elements and three loops (D, anti-codon, and T loops). Lineage: Bacteria; candidate division CPR2. The record is from RNAcentral.
GGAGAGGUACCCAAGAGGCUGAAGGGGCGGGUUUGCUAAACCUGUAGGGUGACUCACGUUGCCGCGAGGGUUCGAAUCCCUCCCUCUCCGCCA